Molecule: ribosomal RNA, 643 nt
Filed under: uncultured Actinomycetes bacterium
Lineage: Bacteria; Bacillati; Actinomycetota; Actinomycetes
Description: bacterial SSU rRNA
Rfam family: Bacterial small subunit ribosomal RNA
Source: RNAcentral
CGCGGCCUAUCAGCUUGUUGGUGGGGUGAUGGCCUACCAAGGCGACGACGGGUAGCCGGCCUGAGAGGGCGACCGGCCACACUGGGACUGAGACACGGCCCAGACUCCUACGGGAGGCAGCAGUGGGGAAUAUUGCACAAUGGGCGAAAGCCUGAUGCAGCGACGCCGCGUGAGGGAUGACGGCCUUCGGGUUGUAAACCUCUUUCAGCAGGGAAGAAGCGCAAGUGACGGUACCUGCAGAAGAAGCGCCGGCUAACUACGUGCCAGCAGCCGCGGUAAUACGUAGGGCGCAAGCGUUGUCCGGAAUUAUUGGGCGUAAAGAGCUCGUAGGCGGUUUGUCACGUCGGAUGUGAAAGCCCGGGGCUUAACCCCGGGUCUGCAUUCGAUACGGGCAGACUAGAGUGUGGUAGGGGAGAUCGGGAUUCCUGGUGUAGCGGUGAAAUGCGCAGAUAUCAGGAGGAACACCGGUGGCGAAGGCGGAUCUCUGGGCCAUUACUGACGCUGAGGAGCGAAAGCGUGGGGAGCGAACAGGAUUAGAUACCCUGGUAGUCCACGCCGUAAACGUUGGGAACUAGGUGUUGGCGACAUUCCACGUCGUCGGUGCCGCAGCUAACGCAUUAAGUUCCCCGCCUGGGGAGUACGG